Molecule: transfer RNA, 77 nt
Filed under: Patescibacteria group bacterium
Lineage: Bacteria
Description: tRNA-Ala
Rfam family: tRNA
About the family: Transfer RNA (tRNA) molecules are approximately 80 nucleotides in length. Their secondary structure includes four short double-helical elements and three loops (D, anti-codon, and T loops).
Source: RNAcentral
GGGGCUGUAGCUCAGCUGAUUAGAGCGCUUGUAUGGCAUACAAGAGGUCGUGGGUUUGACUCCCAUCAGCUCCACCA